This is a non-coding RNA of Rattus norvegicus (Norway rat), 5148 nucleotides long. Lineage: Eukaryota; Metazoa; Chordata; Mammalia; Rodentia; Muridae. The record is from RefSeq and is a predicted model, not a curated record.
AUGCCGUCCUCGCCCGUCACCCGCACAGCCGGAACGCCGGCGGGUUCUGCAGCAACGGCUCGGGAACUGCCGGCCUCUGCGUCCGCAGCACCGCCGCCAGCCAGGCUGGAGCCGAGUCUGUCCCCAGCGUCUGCGCUCCUGCCGGUCACCGGAAACCAGCUAAUCCAGGAACAAUGCAAACAGAGAGGAGCAGCCAGGGUUUUGGCAACAGAUAUAGGCAAAUACCUUUUAUGUACGAUGUCAAGCGAAGCGUAUACAAUGAGGAGAAUUUCCAGCAGGAGCACAGGAGGAAGGGCCCCACUUCUGGGAACAUGGACAUCAACAUCACCACCUUCAAGCACCACGUCCAGUGCCGGUCUGACACUCAGUUUACUAACAAGGCAACUGAUUCCUCCCCUCAACGUCGCUUAUGCCGCCUUCUGCUCCUCAGUCAUUUACGUAAUUUUUGGAUCAUGUCAUCAAAUGUCCAUUGGCCCCUUCUUCCUUGUGAGUGCUCUGAUGAUCAACGUCCUGAAAGAGAGACCAUUCAACAAUGGUCACCUGAUCAUGGGAACUUUUGUCAAGGACGACUUCUCUGUCCCCACCUUCUACCUAAACUAUAACAGAUCCUUAAGUAUGGUGGCAUCCACAACUUUCCUGACUGGAAUUAUUCAGCUGUCCAUGGGUAUGCUGGGCAUGGGCUUCGUGGCCACGUACCUUCCGGAGGCUGCGACCAGUGCUUACCUCGCAGCUGUGGCGCUGCACAUCAUACUGGCCCAGAUGACCUGCAUCUUUGGCAUCAUGGUCAGUUUCCACGCUGGUCCCAUCGCCUUCAUCUACAACAUAAUUAACUACUGCAUAGCUCUUCCCAAAGCGAACUCCACCAGCAUCCUGCUGUUUCUCACUGCUGUAGUGGCUCUGAGAGUGAACAAGUGCAUCCGCAUCUCCUUCAACCGCUAUCCCAUCGAGUUCCCCAUGGAGCUGCUCCUGAUUCUUGGCUUCAGCAUGCUCACGAGCAGGAUAACCAUGGCCACAGAAAACAGCAAGAUGCUGAUCAACAUGAUCCCGUACAGCUUUGUGUUCCCCGAGACUCCAGAGUUUGGCAUUCUUAGCAGAAUUGUUUUACAAGCCCUGUCUUUAUCUGUAGUGAGCUCCUUUCUGCUCAUAUCUCUGGGCAAGAAGAUUGCCAACUUGCACAACUACAGAACCAAUUCCAACCAGGAUUUAAUAGCCAUUGGCCUGUGCAACUUGGUCAGCUCCUUCUUCAGAUGCUGUGUGUUUACGGGAGGGAUGGCCAGGACUAUUAUCCAGGACAAGUCUGGAGGAAGACAGCAGAAAAAACUGGCAUGCUUCUCAGCAAACAGACGGCCACAGCUGCAGACAGGGACCAACGCGUGCCUGACGCGUUCUCUUCAACCAGCUCUAUCUCCUCAGUUUGCCUCUCUGGUGGGCGCAGGGGUGAUGCUGCUGCUGAUGGUGAAGAUAGGGAGCUUCUUCGACAACCUGCCGAACGCUGUGCUGGCAGGGAUCAUUCUAAGCAAUGUGGUGCCCUACCUGGAAACCAUUUACAACUUACCCACCCUGUGGAGGCAGGACCAGUAUGAAUGUGUGGUUUGGAUGGUGACAUUCUCCGCUGCCAUUUUCCUGGGACUAGACGUUGGGCUGCUCAUCUCCCUGGUCUUCACGUUCUUUGUCAUCACUGUCCGCUCGCACAGAACCAAGAUCCUCGUCUUGGGUCAGAUCCCCAACACCAACAUUUACAGAAACGUUAAUGAGUACCGGGAGGUGAUCCUCAUCCCCGGGGUGAAGAUCCUGCAGUGCUGCAGCUCCAUCACGUUUGUUAACGUGUACCACCUCAAGCACAAGUUGUUAAAGGAGGUCAAUAUGGUGAAGUUGCCUCUUAAAGAAGAAGAGAUUUAUGCUCUGUUCCAUGAAAGUGAGACUAGUAUAGCAGAAAACAAACUUUGUAGGUGUUUCUGCGACUGUGAAGAGCUGGAGCCAGAGAGCAGGGUUGUCUACACAGAGCGAUAUGAGAACAAACAAGAGCAUGGGUCAUCCAUCAACCUGAUCCGCUGCUCCUACCUGGGCAGUGGGGACUCCAGCCAAACCACUUCCGAAGAACAGGUUCCCUACACAGUGUCUUCCACAUCACAGAGAAAUAUAGGGCAGAACUACGAGGACACGGAGAAAGCCUGGCUACCCAACAGCCCCCCAAGAAACAGCUCCCUACCACCGCCCGAGAACUCAGAAAGCUUAGCACAGAGCAGAUCCAGAUCUGUCAUCUUGCCUUACUCAGAUACCCAUACCAUCAUUCUGGACUUUUCCAUGGUGCACUAUGUGGAUAACCGGGCUUUGGUUGUAUUAAGGCAGAUGUGCAAUGCUUUCCACAAUGCUGACAUUUUGGUGCUCAUUUCAGGGUGUCACACCUCUGUGGUUAAGUUGUUCGAGAAGAAUGAUUUCUUUGAUGACGGCAUCACAAAGGCCCAGCUCUUCCUCAGCCUCCAUGACGCUGUGCUGUUUGCCUUGUCAAGGAAGUGUUCCGAGCCCUCAGACUUAAGCGUGGACGAGACUGAGACGGUGAUCCAGGAAACCUACUCAGAGUCAGACAAGAAUGACAAUCUGAGCAACCUGAGAUUUAAACCGGGUAAUGUCAUCAUGGAAGGUUCCCAACAUGCGAGUCCAAACUACACCAAGACCCAUAGGCCUGCUAAGAAUGACUUGGAGUUUGACCUGGACCCAGACCGCUUGCUGGCCUCUGAUCAGACGAGUGGGAUGGACCUCAAUCUAGACCUAGACUUGGACUUGGGCAGGGAGUCAGACCUAGACCCUGGGUCUGAGCUGGGUUCCGAGAUCCAAGCCAAACCCGAACUGGAGUCAGAGCUUGAGAUAGAUGUCCAGACAGAGCCUGAGACAGAGGAAGAGUCAGAAAGGGAGAGGAAGUCACAGCCAAGGACCAGGACAAGGGCUCAGAGCCCCUGGCAGAGCUACUUGACUGCUUAUCGCUUUGGUUCUACAAGCUCCCAGUCCGCAGGGCCGCCUCAGACGCCUCAGACACGCCCAGCAGAAAAGAGAUAGCCACACACUUGCCAGAACUCUACCCAGAACAACGAGGACGCAUGCCCUGGGAAAUGUGAGCGGGGAGGGACUCCGGAGGGAGCCAGCAGAAGGAAACCUGGGGACCCUUUCUUACGAUUGCAGCUUUGUUCUGGAUUGAGACAAGGGAGGAAAAGAUCAAGGGGAGGAAAGGAGCUGAGAGAUUCCCCUUCUCAACUCUCAAGAGGACCCAUCCCAGUCAGCACCUACAUCCCGGCUUCCGGCUUCCGGAAUUUUCUGCUGUCGACACCAUAGCCUCGGCUUAUUCUAGUGACUCCAGCAAAAUAAUACAAGCUCCCUCGGGGUUCUAGAGAUGGCUCUUUUCCCUGUCCAUCCCAGUCUGGGUUGGGUGAAAGCUCAAGUUGAUGCUGGGCCCUGGCCACCUCAGCAUCUCUUGCUGGCUUUCCUUAACCUCCAUCCCUCCAUUAAUUUAUUUAUCUUCUGUUCUCUGUAUGUUCACAAAACUACCACAAAGGCAAGAAAAGUUUCCUUUAGGGAUCUCCAUCUACACAGUGAGACUUUUCUGUCAGCAGAAAGUUGUCUCGGUGAUAGCUUUGGUUUCUUUUUCUUUCUUUCUUUCUUUUUUUUUUUUUUGGAGCUGGGGACCCAAAUGCAAGCGCUCUACCACUGAGCUAAAUCCCCAAUCCCUAGCUUUGAUUUCUUUAUUGUUUAUGUUCUCCAGUAGGAUGGAGAGAUGCCUCAGGAGACUUGCCUCUUUGGAUUCAGUUUGUACUUAGUGUAAUGUUUUAUCACCUUCAAGGUAAAAGAAUACAAGCCAGGCAUGAUGGCUCUCGCCUUUAAUCUCAGCCCUGAAUAGACAGAGGCUCACAGAGCUCUGUGAGUUCAAGGCCAACCAAGGCUAAUUAGUAAGAUCCCGAGUCAAAGCCAAAACAAAAAGAGAGAGAGAAUGUAUCUGGACGUGGUAGCACACACUUAUAACCCUGGUACUCGGGAGGCAGGGGCAGAAGGAUUGUGUGGAGUUUGAGGACAGCCUGGACUCCAUAGCCCUAACAGGACCCUAUCUCAAAAGAUCAGGAACAAGGAAAGGACCAGAGAAUGUUAGACUUGAGGACACAUGUGCCUUCAGGUUUAAGUUAUCAGAUUUAGAAGCUGCCUCAGCAGUGUUGGGGGAGAUUACAGGAACAGUCUUUACAAGUAUGUUACUUCAAGAGGAAUGGGAUUUUUUCAGAAAUUAAAUUCUGACACCGCCCAUGAGCAGCCAAAAAUAUAAUGGCUUUUGCUGCUGUCUGAAUAAUUCCACUUUUAAAAAGACUUGCAGAGAAAGGGGGAGGAAGCAUGUGCACCCAAGAGGCAAUGGAUACCAAAAAAAAAAAAAAAAAAAACCAAAACCACUCUUUGAGACAGGGUGUCAAAUAGCACAGGGCUAGCCUUGAAUGGUAUGUGAACAAGGAUAACCUUGAACUUCUGAUCUUCUUACCUCUACCUCCCCAGGGCUGGGUUUCCAGGCGUAUACCACCUCAAUUCACUGUACCUCAGGUCAUCCUGCAUGCGAGACACUUUAUCCACGGAGACACAGCCUCCGCCCUGGUAGCCACUAGUAUUGAAUUAUUUCCAGAAAGGUCAAGUCCAGAAAAGGCAACCUUUCUGAACCCGUGGUGAAGAGCACAGGAAGGUAAGAUGGUUUACAUAUGUAAAUUAAGUAGCAGAAGCUAGGGGCUGGAGAGACCGAUCAGCGGUUAAGAACACUGACUGGGGCUGGAGAGAUGGCUCAGUGGUUAAGAGAACUGACUGCUCUUCCAGAGGUCCUGAGUUCAAAUCCCAGCAACCACAUGGUGCACCUGUAAUGAGAUCUGAUGCCCUCUUCUGGUGUGUCUGAAGACAGCUUCUGUGUACUAUUAUAUAAUAAAUAAAUAAAUCUUAAAAAAAAAACAAAAAACAAAACAAAACAAAAAAAAAAAAACACUGACUGCUCUUCCAGAGGUCCUGAGUUCAAAUCCCAGCAACCAGGUGGUGGCUCACAGCCAUCUGUAAUGGGGUCUGAUGUCCUCUUCUGGUGUGUCUGAGGACAGCGACAGUGUACAUAUAUAUAAUAAAUAAAUCUUUAAAGAACAAAAA